UGGGUGAUGAUCGCAGAAUCACAGCUAAAGUGCUGAGCCUUCCAGGAGCUGCGUUUCCGGAGCCCCAUAUGGUCCAAGAAUUGUCAUACUGCAAGCUACUCUGGAUACAUAAAGGGAAAGACACUUGCCGAAGUCCCUCAAGAGCUGGCCAUAUGGGAUCUGUGCUAAAAGGAAAGAAAGGGAAAUGGGUACCCAGAAGACUCGAGGUUGUCUUGAAAGAAGUAGAGUAAGACAAAGGAUUUGAAGUGAGCAGACCUGGGUUCUAGUACUAACACACCAACUUGCUCUGUGACCUUUGGUCAGUCACUUAACCUCUCUGAGCUUCAUGUUCCUGCUCUGCAAAAUGUUAAUAUUUUAAAAAGG
This is a long non-coding RNA of Zalophus californianus (California sea lion), 363 nucleotides long. RefSeq lists it as uncharacterized. The transcript has 3 exons. The record is from RefSeq and is a predicted model, not a curated record. Lineage: Eukaryota; Metazoa; Chordata; Mammalia; Carnivora; Otariidae.